CCAAACUGUUGCCUCGGCGGGAUCUCUGCCCCGGGUGCGUCGCAGCCCCGGACCAAGGCGCCCGCCGGAGGACCAACCAAAACUCUUUUUGUAUACCCCCUCGCGGGUUUUUUAUAAUCUGAGCCUUCUCGGCGCCUCUCGUAGGCGUUUCGAAAAUGAAUCAAAACUUUCAACAACGGAUCUCUUGGUUCUGGCAUCGAUGAAGAACGCAGCGAAAUGCGAUAAGUAAUGUGAAUUGCAGAAUUCAGUGAAUCAUCGAAUCUUUGAACGCACAUUGCGCCCGCCAGUAUUCUGGCGGGCAUGCCUGUCCGAGCGUCAUUUCAACCCUCGAACCCCUCCGGGGGGUCGGCGUUGGGGAUCGGCCCUGCCUCUUGGCGGUGGCCGUCUCCGAAAUACAGUGGCGGUCUCGCCGCAGCCUCUCCUGCGCAGUAGUUUGCACACUCGCAUCGGGAGCGCGGCGCGUCCACAGCCGUUAAACACCCAACUUCUGAAAUGUUGACCUCGGAUCAGGUAGGAAUACCCGCUGAACUUAAGCAUAUCAAUAAGCGGAGGAA
This 554-nucleotide ribosomal RNA is filed under the name Trichoderma harzianum. RNAcentral's name for it is "eukaryotic LSU rRNA". The stretch from base 165 to 318 matches the Rfam family "5.8S ribosomal RNA". The record is from RNAcentral. Lineage: Eukaryota; Fungi; Ascomycota; Sordariomycetes; Hypocreales; Hypocreaceae.